AUUCCUCAGAUAUACGCAUUGCUACAUCAUCAGCUUUUUCCUUACAACUUUUAUUUUCGGUUGGGAAUUCAGGACUUAGAAGAUAUGCCCUUUCAUUCGGUAAUCUGACAAUCUUGAUGAACCAUCCACCUCGAUAAUUUCGAGGAAAAUCUGCGUAGCGAUUAACGGUAUCAAUUGAGUGUUC
Molecule: small RNA, 184 nt
Filed under: Leuconostoc mesenteroides
Lineage: Bacteria; Bacillati; Bacillota; Bacilli; Lactobacillales; Lactobacillaceae
Description: 6S / SsrS RNA
Source: RNAcentral